This 107-nucleotide ribosomal RNA is filed under the name Jaculus jaculus (lesser Egyptian jerboa). The record is from RNAcentral. Lineage: Eukaryota; Metazoa; Chordata; Mammalia; Rodentia; Dipodidae.
GUCUACGGCCAUCCCACCCUGAACACGCCAGUCUUGUCUGAUCUCAGGAGCUGAGCAGGGUCAGGUCUGGUUAGUACUUGGAUGGUAGAAAUCUAAAUCUGAUGGUU